Hipposideros armiger (great roundleaf bat) is the source of this 2093-nucleotide long non-coding RNA. RefSeq lists it as uncharacterized. The transcript is spliced from 2 exons. The record is from RefSeq and is a predicted model, not a curated record. NCBI's taxonomy places the organism in Eukaryota, Metazoa, Chordata, Mammalia, Chiroptera, Hipposideridae.
CGAGGCCGCCAGGGUGGGGUGGGGCCGGGGAGGGUGGCAGGAGGCUGGACCUGGUGGGACAUGCAGGGGGGCAGGCGCUGUGCCCCUCUGAGAGGCCGGCGUGGGGAGGGGGCUGCAGUGCCCUCCUCCUCGGUGUGUGUAUUGACGGACAUGACAUAAGUGGGUUCACCUAGGAUGCAGGUGCUGCACGAGGAGGGGCCACAUGGGAUGGGUAGCGGGGACAGCGGCCUUCAGCCUGCUUGCUGGGGAGGAUCAGGGAAGAGCAGAGCCGUCCCCUGCUGUGUUCCAGCACCUCUGCCCCCACCCUUACUCCCCCCCCCCCGUGUGGGAUGCGGGGGUCCAGGCUCUCCUGGACAUUUGCUGGAGGAAACUUGCUGUAAGGGCCACUGCGUCCAGGGCCAGAGGACUUGCAGGUGGGAGGUGGGGAGAGGGGGCCCCGGGGCCAGGAGGCCAGCAGGUUUUCUUCUUCUUUUUAUAAAGUGCUGAUUCUGGGGCCGUGUUCUAACUGGGAGGUGAGCUGUCACCCUCAGAGAUGUGGUCAGAAGUUGGGUUCGAAGUUGUGUGUGGCUGAUGAGGGGGGCGGUCGCAGAUGCUGUGUUGGGUUUGGUGGCACUGCUGCUCCCUGGAGAGGGGAUAGAGUCUGAGCGGGGACAGGUCCUUGAUGCAGGUGGGGGCAGGGAUGGGGUGCAAACCCCACAGCACUCAGUCCCUGUCUCUCUCAUUAUAUGCCACCGAGUCCUCCUCGGAAGGCUGGGGGUUCUGUCCCCUCACUCUUCCGCUUUGGUUUGCCACCAGACCCGUCCUAUUGCUGCGUGGCUGUCCCCCUUCCUGAAUUCAGCAGCCUGGCUUCCCCAGGUGAGGCUUGCCAGAUAAACAGAGGAUCCCAGUUCAAUGGAAAGCUGUGCUAAACAACGGUGGUUCUCACUGUCAGUCAGGCACGCUCCUCCUUGGGGGCACGUGGGGGUGGCAUCCUGGGUUUCUUGUCAGGCGACUCAGGCAGUAAGCCAGACAGCAGGGCCUGGGUCCCUGUGACCCUGAGUUUCGCUGAUGGCAGCUUUGCCUCAGUGCCUUCCUCGUGGGUGGGGUGGUUCCCGUCUGAUACAAAGGCACAAUGGAUGUCAGGUGUUCCUGUGUGUGGCUGGUGGUCAGACCGGUGAGGCCGGCACUGGCACAGUGCUGGUGUGGCCUGGGCCGAGUUGUGCUCCCCAAAUUCAUCACUGAAGUCCUAACCCCCAGCACCUCAGAAUGUGACUGUGACUUGGGGUCUUUGAGGAGGUGAUUAACAUGAAAUGAGGUCACUGGGGUGGGCCCUCAUCCACUGUGCCUGAGGGCCUCAUAAGAAGAGGAGAUCAGGACACACGCACAGAGGGACGACCGUGUGGGGACACAGGGAGAAGACGGCCGUCUGCACGCCGAGGAGAGAGGCCUCAGCGCUGGCUCUGCUGACACCUGGACCUCGGCCUCCAGCCUCCAGGACUGGGGACAGUGAGUGUCUGUGGUUUAAGAUAUCAUCUGUGGGACUUGGUUAUGGCUGCCCUGGCACACCAAUCAGGGUGUCCAUGUUUUCCUGUGGAUUUCCGAGUGCAUUUAAUGUAUCGAUUCCAUUCCCCCUUGUCUGUCAUAUUGGACUCAAAACACUUUCCCAGUUUAUUAUUUGCUUUUUAAUAUUUUUAGAAUAUCUCUAUUGAUGUGUGAUUGACAUACGAUAAACUGCGCACAUCGAAAGCACAGCCUGAUGAGCUCUGGUGGACGUGAGGGUGAACAUAUCUCUCACCCCUAGAAACGUCCUCAGGCCCUGUGGUCCCUCUGCCAUCCCUCCCCCACAUUUCCAAGCAGCAGUGUGACGUGGCGAGCUUGCAUUUUAUAGAGUUUUCCAUAAAUGGAAGCAUAGUAUGUACUCUUUUCUGUUUGGCUUCUUUCUCUCAGCAUAACUAUUGUGAGACUCGUUCGUGCCUUGCGUGCGUCGGGCCUGCAUUCCUUCUGGCUGCCAUGGUAUAUGGACACACCACAGCUUGUUUAUCCAUCCACUGUUGACGGACAUUUGGGCUGUUUCCAGUUUUUGACGAUUAAAAACAAAGCAGUAUUUACAUUCA